Molecule: non-coding RNA, 172 nt
Filed under: Bacillus sp. THAF10
Lineage: Bacteria; Bacillati; Bacillota; Bacilli; Caryophanales; Bacillaceae
Description: glmS glucosamine-6-phosphate activated ribozyme
Rfam family: glmS glucosamine-6-phosphate activated ribozyme aptamer
About the family: This entry contains a glucosamine-6-phosphate activated ribozyme that is found in the mRNA for GlmS.
Source: RNAcentral
ACAAAACUUAAAGCGCCUGAACUAAGCAACGGACGACACUAUGCUUAGUUGACGAGGAGGAGGUUUAUCGAUCUAUCGGCGGAUGCCUCCCGGUUGCCACUCACAACCGAUACAGUAACAGUUCAAAGCAUAAAGGCAACUUUAUGUACAAAAACUGAUACUAUGAGGACAA